This 248-nucleotide ribosomal RNA is filed under the name uncultured bacterium. RNAcentral's name for it is "partial 16S ribosomal RNA". It matches the Rfam family "Bacterial small subunit ribosomal RNA", at positions 29 to 256 of the family's 1533-position model. The record is from RNAcentral.
AGUGAACGCUGGCGGCAGGCCUAACACAUGCAAGUCGAGCGGCAGCGCGGUGGUAGCAAUACCACUGGCGGCGAGCGGCGGACGGGUGAGGAACACAUCGGAAUCUACCUUUUUGUGGGGGAGUAACGUAGGGAACUUACGCUAAUACCGCAUACGAGCGUGCAUCGACAGAUAUGCGCUGAAAGCGGGGGCCCAGCAAUGGCCUCGCGCGGAUUGANGAGCCGAUGUCCGAUUAGCUAGGUUGGGGG